Molecule: long non-coding RNA, 388 nt
Filed under: Medicago truncatula (barrel medic)
Lineage: Eukaryota; Viridiplantae; Streptophyta; Magnoliopsida; Fabales; Fabaceae
Description: lncRNA gene42403
Source: RNAcentral
GGGGAAUCAAAGCCUAAGAAAGCGACCAAGAUCAGUAAAAUUGUUUGUACGUAUAUAGGUAAAGGAUUAUUACUAAGUUUUACACAUACCUGCAUUUUACAGGGUUUAGCUAGGUCACACAUGCAAUGUUAUGGUCUACUAGUACCUUUAGGAACAGAACCUUCUCCUCCUACUCUUAAAAAUUUAAAUUUUAGGUGUAUAAGCUUAGGGUUGGGUUGAGUAGGGUUGGUGGAUGGAGAGAAUCAAAUUAGGAUUAGACAGUUGGUUUGUUUGUUUCAUAUGCCCUACAAUAUAUUACAUUACAUGUGGUUUCCAAGAUUUUUGUCUUGUAAGUUUUCAUACCUAUGUCCCACUACUCCAUAUAUCAACUUUAAUCUAUAUAUUCUUU